Molecule: non-coding RNA, 23 nt
Filed under: Arabidopsis thaliana (thale cress)
Lineage: Eukaryota; Viridiplantae; Streptophyta; Magnoliopsida; Brassicales; Brassicaceae
Source: RNAcentral
GCACUCCUUCUGGUUUGUCCUGA